This is a long non-coding RNA of Austrofundulus limnaeus, 456 nucleotides long. RefSeq lists it as uncharacterized. The record is from RefSeq and is a predicted model, not a curated record. The transcript has 3 exons. NCBI's taxonomy places the organism in Eukaryota, Metazoa, Chordata, Actinopteri, Cyprinodontiformes, Rivulidae.
UGAGCGGUAGCCAUCUGGGAGUCCAGGGAGAGAAAAAGUCGAUGGAGAGUGGGCAGGCAGGUUGCCAAGUCACAGCUAAAAUCUGCAGUCGACACGCCAGCAUGUAGAUGAAGCCGUAUGUUUUCUGAGUGUCAUGGGUGGAGAAUUGGAUGGACUCACCUGUGUGCAGUCUUCACUGAUGACAUCCUGGUGUUACUUAAGCCGCCUUCUGAGAUCCAUCCAUCGCUGGAAUAUUCAAUCAGUCAGCUUCUGUACUGUGUAUGACAGCCAGAGUUACGCCUUCGAUGAAUGAUUUGUGUAACCAAGUUUGUUUUUUGUGCUAACCUGUGUCCAGGAUUGAACCCCCGAGUCAAUGACACAUUGCCUCAGGUUUCUUCCUUGUCACUGUUCAUACUCUUCUAGAGCUUGAGUAGAUUCUCCAGUGUGUCCUCUGCCCCGCCUCUCUCCAACGAAAAC